Molecule: unclassified non-coding RNA, 377 nt
Filed under: uncultured Microbacteriaceae bacterium
Lineage: Bacteria; Bacillati; Actinomycetota; Actinomycetes; Micrococcales; Microbacteriaceae
Description: contains 16S-23S intergenic spacer region
Source: RNAcentral
UCCGAGUUGACCCCGGCAGUCUCCUUUGAGUUCCCACCAUUACGUGCUGGCAACAAAGAACGAGGGUUGCGCUCGUUGCGGGACUUAACCCAACAUCUCACGACACGAGCUGACGACAACCAUGCACCACCUGUAUACCGACCUUGCGGGGCGACUGUUUCCAGCCGUUUCCGGUAUAUGUCAAGCCUUGGUAAGGUUCUUCGCGUUGCAUCGAAUUAAUCCGCAUGCUCCGCCGCUUGUGCGGGCCCCCGUCAAUUCCUUUGAGUUUUAGCCUUGCGGCCGUACUCCCCAGGCGGGGAACUUAAUGCGUUAGCUGCGACACAGAAUCCGUGGAAUGGACCCUACAUCUAGUUCCCAACGUUUACGGCAUGGACUAC